CAUGCAGGCGGUCGGACGCGUUUUGUGUGACAGCGGGUGGCUUAACUGCCCGAGUAUGCGAAAGACGGUUCGACUUGAGGGCUCGAGAGGGACACGGAAUUCCGGGUGGAGUGGUGAAAUGCGUAGAGAUCCGGAGGAACACCGAAGGCGAAGGCAGUGUCCUGGCGAGUGACUGACGCUGAGGUGCGAAAGCCAGGGGAGCGAACGGGAUUAGAUACCCCGGUAGUCCUGGCCGUAAACGAUGACCACCAGGUGUGGGAGGUAUCGACCCCUUCUGUGCCGGAGGAAACCCACUAAGUGGUCCGCCUGGGGAGUACGGUCGCAAGAUUAAA
Molecule: ribosomal RNA, 332 nt
Filed under: uncultured bacterium
Lineage: Bacteria
Description: bacterial SSU rRNA
Rfam family: Bacterial small subunit ribosomal RNA
Source: RNAcentral